UACGGAAGGGGCGAGCGUUGUUCGGAAUCAUUGGGCGUAAAGGGCGCGUAGGUGGCUCUGUAUGUCUACCGUGAAAGCGUACGGCUCAACCGUAUUUUGUCGGUAGAAACUGCAGGACUUGAGGCUGGGAGGGGCUGGUGGAAUUCCCUGUGUAGCGGUGAAAUGCGUAGAGAUGGGGGAGAACACUCGUGGCGAAGGCGGCCAGCUAGACCAGUUCUGACACUGAGGCGCGACAGCGUGGGGAGCAAACAGG
RNAcentral lists this ribosomal RNA (253 nucleotides) under uncultured bacterium. RNAcentral's name for it is "partial 16S ribosomal RNA". It matches the Rfam family "Bacterial small subunit ribosomal RNA", at positions 524 to 776 of the family's 1533-position model. The record is from RNAcentral.